RNAcentral lists this ribosomal RNA (498 nucleotides) under uncultured bacterium. RNAcentral describes it as "partial 16S ribosomal RNA". It matches the Rfam family "Bacterial small subunit ribosomal RNA", at positions 30 to 523 of the family's 1533-position model. The record is from RNAcentral.
AUUGAACGCUGGCGGCAUGCCUUACACUUGCAAGUCGAACGGUAACGGGCCUUCGGGUGCCGACGAGUGGCGAACGGGUGAGUAAUGUAUCGGAACGUACCAUUGAGUGGGGGAUAACGUAGCGAAAGUUACGCUAAUACCGCAUAUUCUCUCCGGAGGAAAGCAGGGGACCGCAAGGCCUUGCGCGCUUUGAGCGGCCGAUAUCAGAUUAGCUAGUUGGUGGGGUAAAAGCUCACCAAGGCGACGAUCUGUAGCGGGUCUGAGAGGAUGAUCCGCCACACUGGAACUGAGACACGGUCCAGACUCCUACGGGAGGCAGCAGUGGGGAAUUUUGGACAAUGGGGGCAACCCUGAUCCAGCCAUGCCGCGUGAGUGAAGAAGGCCUUCGGGUUGUAAAGCUCUUUCAGCCGGGAAGAAAUCGCAUGGGCUAAUACCCCGUGCGGAUGACGGUACCGGAAUAAGAAGCACCGGCUAACUACGUGCCAGCCGCCGCAGUAA